Non-coding RNA from Rattus norvegicus (Norway rat), 1773 nucleotides. Lineage: Eukaryota; Metazoa; Chordata; Mammalia; Rodentia; Muridae. The record is from RefSeq and is a predicted model, not a curated record.
UGAAGGGAAGACCCCUGAUGUUGCAGGGCCCCACACCCAGGCCAGGACUGCACCAUGAUCCCAGGAGGCAUCACAUCAUGGCUCAUCAGGCCACCAGUAUUACACUACCUUGCUCUUUAGAGUUCUCUGCUGGAUGUCUCAAAUCCAAUCAGCGUGUGACUGGUUGCACUUACACACUCCUGCCACUAUUGCAAAGGUAGACAUUGCAAUCACUACAGAUGAGAAGAUGGGACCACAGGUUUCACCAUUAUCAAACUCUUGUGCAUUUGAUGCUUGCCUAUGGCGAGGCAGUGGCCCCUACUUGUUUAAGAUGGAGAAACAUCAGGACUACAUUAAGGAAGGAAUGUUUUAUUUAAAGCCUCCGUUGGUAACACACUACCCUAUUUCCCCUUACAAUUUGCUCACUCUAAUUGUUAAAACAUUUCCUGCUAUUUCUGAGCUGUGGAGACCACAAAAAUGUACAGAUGAUGCUCGACCAGGUCUACAUAGAGGAGCAAGUUUGUCUUUCAUCUGUCUUUUAAAAGUGUUUGAGACACUUCUUGGAUUACUUGUUCCUCUUUUACUACUACUUGUUAUUUAGAACUAACCUCCUUAAUGAUACAGGUUUUUAACUGAGUAGUUAGUGAGUCCUCAACGUUCGGAAAGUUUCGAGUGAAAUUCAGCAAGACAGAACACAGACAAGCAAACCCACCAGUAGAUGUAUAGGAAGAAAUGUAGCUGCAAAACUGAUUGCAGUGUGAACUGGGGAUUGUUGGACUCUAUUCCCUGAUUUAUAGUUCUAUUUUAAAGAAUGUAAAAUGCUAUCUCACUUUUAAAAUUUGGGGUAUCUGUUGUAAUUUAAUUUUCAAGGUGAAUUACAAACAAGGAGAAAUUCUUUUAUCAGAUAUUUAGAAACUAAUGGCAUUCUCGAUUAUUUGACAAAACUUUUAAGUACCUAAAUAACAUUAUUAAUCUUAACAGAAUCCAGUUCCAUUUCAGGCAUAAGAUUCUACUUCCGGAGAACAAUUACAUGUGUUAAGAUUUAACUAAAUUUUCCUACUGCCCUGCGUUCUCAAUUUUCUCUGUAUAUCUCAUAUCUCUCAGAGCUCCCAACAUGAGAAAUGAGAAAUGAAAGUAAAUCAAUACCCAGAUGUGUCAAACAUAUUUUAAUCAAGUUUCUCUGUGAAAGAAGACAAUUGUUUUGUGAAGCAUUCCGAACAUAAUAGACUUUAUGAUGGCAUGAAGGAUGAGCUCUGGGGUCCUAUUCAUGUUUGACAUUCUAUAAAGGGCUGAGAAAACACUUUUUGAAGGAAGAUCAACAAGAUAAAAAAGUAAAUGUUACCAAGAAUCUAUAAGUACUGACUCCUACAAGAGAAAGAAUGCAGUAAACAAAAUGACCAGCCAACCAACCAAUGAAAACCAAGUGUGUUUUGUCAAUUUUCACACCUAAGUGAACUGAGAAAAUGCCCUCUGCUUCCUUCUGUGGUGUCAGGAAGAAAUUCAAACCGUACAUGCCCUUCUCCAAAAGCAUCUACCCCACUUAUUGUCUUGUGUAGCCACAAUGGGGAGGGGAAAAAUAAGGGAGAAAGUGGGAAGACUGGCUUCAGUGAAAAGAAAUGAAGUACCAUGCAGAAGCUAUUAAGUUUCUUACCCAAAGUAUUUUAAAUAUCAUCAUCAAGAGUGGCAUCUGUUGAUUAGAUUGUUUCUUACGGUUUAGAAGUAAGUUCAAUUGCUUUAUAACCUAUCUGUGGUAUGAUCUAUCCCUAAUAUGACAUCUAGUGUGAUAUCUGUUAU